UAGGUAAUUAGUUCAACGGUAGAAUGGUGGAUUCCAACCCCGCUGAUGUGAGUUCGAUUCUUACAUUACCUGU
Molecule: transfer RNA, 73 nt
Filed under: Apilactobacillus kunkeei
Lineage: Bacteria; Bacillati; Bacillota; Bacilli; Lactobacillales; Lactobacillaceae
Description: tRNA-Trp
Rfam family: tRNA
About the family: Transfer RNA (tRNA) molecules are approximately 80 nucleotides in length. Their secondary structure includes four short double-helical elements and three loops (D, anti-codon, and T loops).
Source: RNAcentral